RNAcentral lists this long non-coding RNA (589 nucleotides) under Setaria viridis. RNAcentral's name for it is "long non-coding RNA (SVIR_LNC009424)". The record is from RNAcentral. Lineage: Eukaryota; Viridiplantae; Streptophyta; Magnoliopsida; Poales; Poaceae.
UCCUCAAACACAUCAAGACACAUCAGGGCUGCACAAACUCAACUCACCAUGGGAAGGUCCCUACGUCAUAUCCAAAGUCACAGGGCCCAGAUCAUACCGAUUACAGGAACUCUUAGGCGAAGAAGUACCAAACUCUUGGAAUAUAGAGCAUCUGUGUCGCUACUACCCGUAGCAGACUACAAGACAUGUACUCGGGUCCUCACCCACAGUUUAUUAAACAAACAAAGUCCUUUGGCAAUCAGUACCUAUCUUUGCCUCCGCUCGACUAUUCACAACCACUCAAGCUCUUCAGCUCCAUGAGCCCCAAUGCUCUGCCCUUGACUUGAUUCCAUCAGGUCUCUUCGAGUUAUCACAACUCGUCGACUAUUCACAGCCACUCGAUAUCUCCAGCUCCACAAGCCCCAGCGCUCCGCCCUUGACUUGUUUUCAUCAUGUCUCUUUGAGUUAUCACAACUUGUCAGCUAUUCAUAGCCACUCAAGCUCUUCAGGUCUAUGAGUUUCAACACUCUCUCGCCGACUUAUCUCUACAAUUCUAAACAACUUCACAAAGUCACGACUCAUGUCAGUUCACUUACUAGGCUACAAUCCU